Molecule: ribosomal RNA, 429 nt
Filed under: Actinomycetes bacterium
Lineage: Bacteria; Bacillati; Actinomycetota; Actinomycetes
Description: Actinobacteria bacterium partial 16S ribosomal RNA
Rfam family: Bacterial small subunit ribosomal RNA
Source: RNAcentral
UAGGGAAUCUUCCGCAAUGGGCGAAAGCCUGACGGAGCAACGCCGCGUGAGUGAUGAAGGUCUUCGGAUCGUAAAAUUCUGUUAUUAGGGAAGAACAAAUGUGUAAGUAACUAUGCACGUCUUGACGGUACCUAAGCAGAAAGCCACGGCUAACUACGUGCCAGCAGCCGCGGUAAUACGUAGGUGGCAAGCGUUAUCCGGAAUUAUUGGGCGUAAAGCGCGCGUAGGCGGGUUUUUAAGUCUGAUGUGAAAGCCCACGGCUCAACCGUGGAGGGUCAUUGGAAACUGGAAAACUUGAGUGCAGAAGAGGAAAGUGGAAUUCCAUGUGUAGCAGUGAAAUGCGCAGAGAUAUGGAGGAACACCAGUGGCGAAGGCGACUUUCUGGUCUGUAACUGACGCUGAUGUGCGAAAGCGUGGGGAUCAAACAGG